Molecule: ribosomal RNA, 253 nt
Filed under: uncultured bacterium
Lineage: Bacteria
Description: partial 16S ribosomal RNA
Rfam family: Bacterial small subunit ribosomal RNA
Source: RNAcentral
UGCGUAGGGGGCGAGCGUUAAUCGGAAUUACUGGGCGUAAAGCGUGCGCAGGCGGUUCGUUAUGUCGGAGGUGAAAUCCCCGGGCUUAACCUGGGAAUUGCCAUGGAAACUGGCGAACUGGAGUGCGGCAGAGGGGGGUGGAAUUCCGCGUGUAGCAGUGAAAUGCGUAGAGAUGCGGAGGAACACCGAUGGCGAAGGCAGCGCCCUGGGCUAGCACUGACGCUCAGGCACGAAAGCGUGGGGAGCAAACAGG